UAAUACGAAUGGUCCAAGCGUUGUUCGGAAUCACUGGGCUUAAAGCGCACGUAGGCGGAACGUUAAGUGUCUUGUGAAAUCCCUACGGCUUAACCGAGGAAUUGCAGGGCAUACUGGCGUUCUUGAGGCAAGUAGGGGUGCAUGGAACUCUAGGUGGAGCGGUGAAAUGCGUAGAUAUCUAGAGGAACGCCUGUGGUGAAAACGGUGCACUGGCCUUGAUCUGACGCUGAGGUGCGAAAGCGUGGGUAGCGAAGAGGAUUAGAUACCCUUGUAGUCCACGCCGUAAACGAUGCCUACUAGGUCUCGGGAGUACUGACGCUUUCGGGGCCGUAGCAAAAGUCUUAAGUAGGCCGCCUGGGGAGUACGGUCGCAAGGCUA
This 378-nucleotide ribosomal RNA is filed under the name uncultured bacterium. RNAcentral describes it as "bacterial SSU rRNA". It matches the Rfam family "Bacterial small subunit ribosomal RNA", at positions 521 to 896 of the family's 1533-position model. The record is from RNAcentral.